UUGGAGUUUUUUUUUUAAAUAAUCGUUGGUAUAGGCUGGUAUAUCUUCUGAUAGGGUUUUACCUUAAUCAAGGAGGUUUUGGUGGACACGUCAAACGUUAUUCUCAGCUCGGGGUAUCGGAUAGAAGAAUUAUGAGGAAAAGCUGCUAACAUGCUUUAAACAAUUAUUUAUGUUUCAUUUUCAGCACUCCUAGAAAAACCUAGAAAAUUUAUAGAUUUUUUUAUUUCAUGACCUGGAAUUUUCAGGGAAGUAGACUGGAAAGUCAGGAAAAGUCAGGGAAUUUGAUUUUCAAAUUUGAGUCGACACCCUUAUGAACAAAUAUACUCAAAAUGUUGAACUUAUGUCGCUUUUCAUACAACUUUUGAACAGUAUAGCUUAAAAGUUAUUCAAAUACUUAUUUGUUUUAAAAGCAAAGUUCGCGUUAUCAUAUCAAAAACCCAAUAUCUCAGUAGUUUUGAAGUUAAUUUUGAUCGUGGAAUCUUUCAUUUCAAACACUGUGCAUAACAUGCGUAUAUUGUGUGGCAGUCACAAUGAUACACUAUGCCCAGGGAGUCGAGAUUUUUUUUUCGACCAGAACGAGAACCGAACCCGCCGUCCCUGGAUUGGCGAUCCAUAACCAAUCACUAGGCUAAUUGGGUUCCUUAGUGAAUAAAAUAUUGCUAUUUUGUAUAGCCUAAUCGAAAGAACUCAUUUUUCUGAGUAUAACGUGAUUUUAUUGGAUUCCGAUAACUUUGUUUUGAUGGUUUAAUUAACAAAACAGUUUUCAUUUUUGUGGAUAGAAUGACAGUUCAAUCGAUAAAGUGACAGUUCGACCCGAACAAAAAAAAUCCCCAUACAAACUUUAAAUGCAUUUUAAAAAUAGUUCCCGGACUCCGAAAAUUAUGAAAUUUUGGAUUUUGACUAAUUGUUGGGCGGAGAAUCCGAUUAUGAAAUAAUCCGGAUACCCCUAAAGAACCCAAUUAGAGGCCCUUUAGCAGGGUUGUAAAUCAUCUGGUUAUUUGCCUAUUUCACUGUUCCCAGCAAGAAAUGUUCAUCGACGAUAUUGUUAUUUUACUAUAACUAAUCAAUGUUAUUGAAGGUUCACGAAUGGAAAUUUGCAUUAAAAAUUGUAGAAUUGGGUUCUUAAGGGGUAUCCAGAUUAUUGCAUAAUCGGAAUCUCCGUCUAAAAAUUAGUCGAAAUCCAAAUUUUCAUUAUAUUUGGUGCCCGAGUACUAUUUUUAAAAUGCAUUUAAAGUUUGUAUGGGGAAAAUUUUUUGUUCGCGGCGAACUGUCACUUUAUCGAUUGAACUGUAAUUCUAUCCAUGGAAAUUAAAACUGUUUUGUUUAUUUUACCAUCAAAACAAAUGAUUAGGGACGCAAUAAAAUCACCGUAUACUCAGAAAAGUGAGCAAUUUCGAUUAGGCUAAAGAAAAUGAUAAUAUUUAAUUCACUUAACAGCCCAAUGGACUACCCGCUUUGCGCGCAGCCACAGUUGAUCAGCAGGAGUAAAUCAAUUUAAUUUUGUAUGGCGAAAUGCAUCUAAACUUGAAUUACUUGAAAUACAAAGCAUUUUCCGAAAAAAAUAUUUGGUAGGCUUAAUAGUGGUUACCAUUGUGCACAACCUCUAUCAAAUAUUUUUUCGAAUAAUGUGUUCCACUUUGAAGAAUUUGCCUUUAGAUGCUAUUCGCCAUACAAUAUUUUUGCGAUUUACUUUUAGCAAUUUUUCGCGCAUAGAAGCUAGCGCCACAUUGGUCGAUGCGGAGAGUAGGAAAACAGCCGAUGUAGUUAAUUCAUUGGAAAAUGUCAUGACUUUUUUUUCAUGACAUUUCCGUGACAUUCUACAACCCUGCCCUUCAGUUGAUUUUAUAGAAUAUAACAAAAAAUAAAAAUGUUUUCAAGAGUUUUUUUUUCGUUUCAAUAUGUUGACUAUAAAUUAAUAAUUGUUGGCGAAUCCACGCCACCGCGCCUUCACUACACUUUGGGCCAGCCUAAAGUCAGAUGUUGCAGAACGGUCGAGACUACGUUGGGCAUCGGGUGGCACCGAACGAUAGAUGGAAUGACAGUUUCCUCUGUCAUGUGGUGAGUCACUCACACUAAAACAACUGAAUUGUCAAUUAAUUAUAACGAUCAAAAGUCAAAGAACGUGAACUUGCUAAAUUAUUUUCUGUCGCUGAUGAUUAUUUCAUUAAACGUUGAAUUAUUUCUAGUUUAUUAUAUCUAAUACUAAAAGGUAACUUAAUACUAUAGAAAAUAAUCGAAUUCAGUUAACUUAUACUAUAUUUGCACAGUUCAACUUAAUCUACGUUGUCGACCACAUAUAGCCUAAAAAUAACCUAUAUGCUAUUACUAAAAGGUAAAACUACAUAUAUAGGAUUUCAUGCAUAUUAAAUAAAACCUUAUAAUUAUAGUACGGCAGGUUAGAUAGUACGGACUAGUGCGACAAAACGGCAAAAACAUACAUUGUACAAACGGUGGAUGACAAAACGAUUAGACUCGAGACAGACUUGAACUGAUUACACGGAGGGAAACGAAACAUUGAAUUCGGGACUAAACGUAAGUGACAAUUAAUAAUAUUGUACAUACUCAUAUUUCUCUAUAGACACAUAAUUAACAUCACAAUCAAGAAACACCAAUUACAUGUUGAACUUAUGUAACCUUCUUAGGAAAAUAAUAAUCAUCCGGAUUAAAACCAAAAACCCAAUCGCCGGCCGUUUUAUUUCCGGGAUUAUUAUUGCGGAAUCACCCGAGGUUGUUGGCAAUUUCCAACAAUUUAUUAUUUUCGUUUAAUGUGCAUACUCCGGUCAUGUCGAGUCGUACUCUACGGUCAAAUCGGUCAGGCAAACCGAGCCAUGGUGUUGGUGUGAAAGAUAGUGUGAAUAGUGGUGUUCAAGUGGUGGUCACGGAAGAUCCGGAGGAGUCUCACCCCGGGCGGACAUGCCAAGUGUGCCGAGGAGUUGACACGGAGGAAAUGGUGCAAUGCGACGACUGUCUGAAAUGGCAUCACUUCCAGUGUGUGGGAGUAACACAGCAGAUCGAGAAUCAUCCUUGGAGUUGUGCCAAAUGCGGAAAAGCGAAAGGUGUCCGGGAACCAAAUUCGACUGCUCAUCGAGGAAGCGGUAAUCCAUCAAUGCAGGUGGCUGAGGCAGAAUUGAAUCCGUUGUCUGCACUAUCACACCAGCAGUUCCCAGCCCAGUCGCAGACGAUCACGGCAGCGCUGAAUUCGACAGCGAAUCACCCUAUUCAACCGAACGAUGAGAAUCAAACCCCGUUCGUGACUUCCUUGCGAUGGGUAGUGAAUACGAGCAGACAACCGUCUAGGAAUGCUUCAGUUUCAUCGGGGCGUUCCUCGCAGGCGCUCGCUAAGCUCAAACUGCAAAAACUGGAGAAGCUGAGGAGUAUUGAGCGGCGUGAGGCAGAGCAGCAACGAGCAAUUAUAGCGGAUGAAGCGAAGAAAGAAAAGGUGUUUCUUGAGCAGAAGUACCAGUUACUGGAGCAAGCUAUGUCUGAAAGUGGUUCUUCUAUGGACGAUGCAGUUAGCAGAACAGAACAUUGGGUGGCGAGUACGAGCGGUCAUCGAAGCCAGUCAAGACAGCUGGGCAUGGUGAACCAAUUUGAUCUAACUGAGCGGUUGAGUAAAGUACAGCUUGCCCGCCCGAAUAGUAUACGCAACGGCAGUAGCCGCUCAUCAUUACCUGAGCCAAAUCCACCGGAUCCAUUUCCAGUACCGGAAUCCUUGCGAACUUGUUCCGUAGAACCGCCUGCUUCAGACGGAAGAAUGCGGCAGUUGGAAUCUCAACCAAUCAGCUCCCACGAGGUCCCACGUCGAGUGUCGAUAGCACAUAUUUCUCAUUCUGGGGCACGCGGUGUAUUACUGCCCGGUCAAUCGCUGGAUGCACCGCGACCGGUGUUACAAACAGCACAACGAGAUCAACCACGAGAUUAUGUAUCGCAUUUCCCAGAACCAGAUGCGAGUCGUCAGUUUUCUCGAAAUGUACCGACUCCGGGGUAUCAACAGUUCGUUCCACAUCCGAACCAAUCGCAAGCUUAUCUACCGAACCCUCCUCUUUCAUCUACCAUGCGGGCUUCUCAUGUCUACGAUCAAGAAGAGGAUCCAUGUCCGAUUUCCCGUAAGCAGCUGGCUGCUCGGCAAGCAGUUGCCAAGGAUCUACCUACGUUCUCUGGAAACCCAGAGGAAUGGCCUCUGUUUUUCGCAACCUUCAACAGCACAACAGCAUUGUGCGGGUUUACCAGCGAGGAGAAUAUCGUCCGCCUACAACGAAGCUUGAAGGGCCGCGCGUACGAGGCAGUAAAAAGCAGACUGCUGCAUCCAUCAAAUGUAGGCGGGGUCAUGUCAACUCUGAAGAUGUUGUUCGGGCAGCCAGAGAUAAUUGUACACACUAUGAUGUCCAAAAUAAAUUCUCUUCCGUCACUGAGAGAGGAUAAACUGGAAGCUCUUGUGGACUUCGCCGUUAGCGUUGAAAACUUUUGUGCGACUGUGGAUGCGUGUGGAUUAGAGGAAUAUCUCUACAAUAUCUCCUUUCUCCACCAACUCGUUAACAAGCUUCCCCCAUCGAUAAAGUUGAACUGGGCGCAAUACAGACAGACACUACCGACGGUCAACUUACCGUCUUUCAGUAAUUGGCUAUACUCACUUGCAGAAGCUGCUAGUGCUGUCACCAUUCCGAACAUACCCUAUGAUUCCAAACCGGUUCGUGUCGACCCACGAGUGACAAAAAGGAGCAACUCGUACGUCAAUGCCCACUCUGAGGAUACUUAUCCAGGUAAUCACUCCGCAGCGCCAUCCAAUGCGGAAACUGUAGCCGAUUGCUGCCCAGUAUGUGAAGGAUACUGUAAAUCUAUCGCAAAGUGCAAACGCUUCCUGGAAUUCUCUCGUGACUCCCGCUGGGCAACCGUUCGAGAUCUAGGACUAUGUCGCAGAUGUCUACGUCAGCACAAAGGAUGGUGUCAAGCAAAGGUGUGCGGCAAGAACGGCUGCGAGUUGAAACACCACGAGAUGCUGCACAACGACCAGAAAAGCAUGCAACAAUCGUCCAUCACUUCAAGCAACCAAAACGAACCUUCCCCGACUCAGCAUCCAAAUCCCACACCGCCUCCAAUGCCAAGCUCAUCCGAGCACGGGUGUCAUGCUCAUCAAGUUACAUCUAGUCAAGUUUUAUUCCGCUAUCUACCCAUUGUGCUACAUGGAAAGUACCGGUCCAUUGAAACGUUCGCCUUUCUUGAUGACGGAUCAGAACUCACUUUGCUCGACAAAGAACUAGCGGACGAACUGCAGCUCGAAGGAGAGCCGAUGCCAUUGUGUUUGCACUGGACAGGAGGAGCCACACGUCGAGAGGAAGGAUCAAUGACCGUCAAGCUGGAGGUGUCUGCACAGCAUAACGAAUCGAAACGGUAUCCAAUGACUGAUGUACGAACAGUAGCGGAAUUGCUCCUUCCUUCGCAAACACUUAACCUUCCAGAGCUAUGUGAACGAUUCCCACAUCUCAAGGGUUUGCCUAUCACUUCCUAUCAAGAAGUUCGGCCCAGGAUUCUAAUAGGAAUGAAGGAUCAGCAUUUGAGCUUGAUUAAAAAGAGUCGCGAGGGUGCUCUACACCAACCAGUCGCGGUCAAAACUCGUCUCGGAUGGGCAGUCUGUGGUGGAGGGAAUCAAGAUAACUCCGCAAACCUUGCCCACUCAGUAUUUCACGUAUGCGCCUGCGACUCACCGACGGACGAUAAUCUUCACCAAAAAAUGAAGGAGUAUUUCGCAGUCGACAGCCUAGGUAUUGCUCAACCUAUGAAAACUCUUCGUUCUUCCGAAGAGGAGCGUGCUCUCUCUCUUCUUGAAGCUCGCACAGUAUUCAAGGGAGACCGCUACGAAACAGGCUUACUAUGGCGUCAUGACAAUCCACGUCUACCUGACAGUCUCCCAAUGGCACUCCAACGACUGCAAUGCCUUAAAAAGCGAAUGGAUAAGAACCCAGAGCUCGCCGAAGCUCUCAAUCAGAAAAUUUCCGAUUUCGUCGUGAAGGGAUAUGCUAGAAAGCUUAACGAAGAAGAACUAAGCCGAAAACAUCCACGGAUAUGGUAUCUUCCAAUAUUUCCCGUUACGAACAUAAAUAAACCUGGAAAGAUCCGAAUGGUCUGGGACGCAGCUGCGACCGCAUACGGUGUGUCUCUGAACUCAGCUUUACUCAAGGGACCCGAUCAGCUUUCCGAGCUCUUCACCAUACUGAUCCAGUUCCGCGAAGGCCGUUUUGCGCUAUCCGGUGACGUGCGUGAGAUGUUCCUGCAAGUGCUUAUGCGUCCAGAGGAUCAGCAAUGCCAACGUUUUCUGUGGUACGACCAGGAUGGAACCCUAUCUGUCUACGUCCUGCAGGUGAUGACGUUCGGAGCGUGCUGUUCUCCAUGCAGCGCCCAAUAUGUUAAGAAUUUGAACGCAGAACGUUUCAAUGUGACUAUCCGGCGGCUACCGAGGUGAUUCAGAAGCGUCACUACGUCGACGAUAUGUUAGUGAGUGUAGCUACAGAAGAAGAGGCGAUUCAGCUUGCUCAAGAAGUCAAGCAAGUUCACGCAGAAGGUGGGUUCGAGAUCCGCAAUUGGGUUAGUAAUUCCAAGCGUGUCAUCCAGGCAUUGCAAGAGGACCGAACAGAAAAGAAAAAUCUCGACGCGACAUCAGAAAUAUCCCAGGAGAAAGUUCUCGGAAUGUGGUGGUGCACCGAUUCCGACACAUUCACCUACAAAGUAGGAUGGAAUCGGUACGGACAAGCUUUAUUGGAAGGUCAAUACCGUCCAACGAAAAGGGAUAUGUUACGCGUCCUUAUGUCCAUGUUUGACCCGUUAGGGCUAAUCGCUCACUUCCUUAUGUAUCUCAAAAUCGUUCUACAAGAAGUAUGGCGUUCCGGAAUUGGCUGGGAUGACCAAAUCAACGAUGUUAUUUACGAGAAGUGGCAAACGUGGCUUGCAGUAUUGCCGCAAGUCGAACGCACUAGUAUUCCUCGGUGUUAUUUCGGUGGAUUUACAGCUGCCAAUGGAGACGUCCAGCUUCAUACAUUUGUUGACGCUAGUGACAAUGGAAUUGCUGCUGCUUGCUACUUGCGUUCUGUUCAUGACGGUAUCGUGAAAUGUAAUUUGGUGGCCGCUAAAACUAGAGUUGCACCUCUGAAAUUCCUUUCCAUUCCGAGGUUGGAACUCCAAGCAGCAUUAAUAGGUGCGAGACUGGCCCAAACGGUAUCUGCAGCCAUAACGAUUCCGAUUACAUGCCGGGUCUACUGGUCCGACUCACAGGACGUGCUAUUUUGGAUCAAGUCCGAUCACCGCCGCUAUUCACAAUUUGUAGCAUUUCGAGUCAGCGAGAUCCUCGAUACCACCGAGAUGUGCGAAUGGAGAUACGUUCCAACCAACCAAAACGUUGCCGAUGAUGGAACCAAAUGGAAGGGACUACCGGAUCUGACUCCUCUAUCUCGAUGGUUUAUCGGGCCACAGUUCUUGUAUUAUUCAGAAGGGAAUUGGCCCCAAACACCGAAGAGUACCAACACUGCCGAUUUGGAGCUUCGUCCGAGUGUGAUGUCACAUUUCUUGGCGCUGAAUUCUUUAAUUAACGUCGAUGAAUACUCCAGUUGGGACCGGAUAAUCAAAGUCGUCGCUUUACUCCACCGCUUUGCUUGCAACUGCAAACUGAAGAUCCAAAGAAAACCAAAAAGGAUCGGGCCCAUUUCGAACUCGGAAUACAAAGUUGCCGAAUCAUACCUCUUACGUCAAGCUCAACACGAAACCUUUCCUGAUGAGAUAGUACAUCUUACAAGAUCACAGGAAAGUGUUGAGCCACCUAUUUCCACAAUUCCUAAAUCAAGUCCUCUUUACCGGAAAUCUCCAUGGCUGGACAAAUCCGGAAUAUUGAGGAUGCGUGGCCGGAUAACUGCUUGCGACUACGCAACCGAGGAUGCAAAACACCCAAUAAUACUUCCCCGUGACCACCAUACCACAAAGUUAAUUGUUUCACACUAUCACCAAAAGUUCCACCAUCAGAACCACGAGACCGUUAUUAACGAAAUCCGCCAGAAAUUCAGCAUUCCGCAUCUGCGCUCGACCUAUACCAAAGUGAGAAAUAACUGCCAACGUUGCAAAAACGAUCGUGCUGUUCCAAGAGUGCCCAUCAUGGCCGACCUGCCUGUAGCACGCCUGGACGCAUUUACUCGCCCGUUCACGCAUGUUGGUGUCGACAUGUUCGGGCCGUACGAGGUUGUUACCGGUCGUCGAGUAGAAAAACUAGGAGUGGGUAAUGUCUGAGACAUAACCGCAAUGUUGACGUAGGACAAAGACUGGAACGAGAUUCCGACUUUUAUAUUUCCAUAAUACAAUGUUUGUUGUUAUGAUAAUACAAAUGGUGAACUGAUGUGUUGAGUAAAGUUGUUGUGUGAUCGCUUUCGCUGAACGCAUUCAUAACCCAACAAACAUUUUUGCUGUAUAAGAGUAAAACAAAUCACUCUUAAGCUAACUUUAACUCAAGAAGCUGUUAUUCAGCUGGUUCGGUUACUUGGAAAGAUGUUGACUAGUUCAAGAGUUAUUUAGUUUUGAAGAGAAAUGGUCAAAUUACUGUUCUACGAGAGAAUUUUCACCAGCGGAUAAAAUUAUUAGAUAAUUGAACGGCGUUAGAUAGAUCUUUUCAACUAAAGUUUAACGUGAAACUCUUUCGACAAUGAGCCAUUUUACGAGGUGACAACAAUGUUGAUGAUGAUAUUGGUUUUCACGGGUUAUUUGACGCUGCCUUCUUUUAAAAAUUCAUUAAUAAAAUCGGCUCGUAAAAUGGACUAUACCAGAGAAAAUAGGUAGAGAAGCGAAGAGUGUGAAGCCAAAAAAACCUUAUCGAACCGUCAAACUGGUAUCCUAUCGAACAAAAUCAACAAACCUUGACGAUUGCCGCAUAAUUCAUGAUAAGUAUUGCGAUCAUUCGAAACAUUUUUUUACCAAUAUUUUUAAAUAUCAAGGAUAUUACUGUAAAUAACAUUGAUUUCUUAAAUUGACGAAAAUUGAUCCUUUUUGGUAUACAUUUUAGAUGAUUUCUUGUUAAUAAAUCAACAGCAUAAAUCAUUUUCUAAUGCAGUACACGAGAAAGACACUACCCUCGAUAGGUGGAUGAUUCUGUUUUUCGGCAGUUGCCAACAUCCGAGUUACGAAAUCAAAACAGAAAAAGUGUUGCCGUUCAGACGGCUGUUCACUCUUCGCUUCUCUACCUAUUUUCUCUGGACUAUACGUUGUUUUCAUCCGGGAAGAACAUAUUAGUGGCGACUUCACUAUUGCUGAACUACCAAGCUUUCAAUCUGUCGCUUUUAAUUAUCCGAAUCAUAACUCAUGAGGAAUCAUUUUCGCUGAUCCUGGAAAAGACCGUUUAUAAAACGGAAGAUUUUGGCAAGACAAUCGCAUGAAUUCAUCACGCAAUGCGAUUUUACCCAUACUGAAUGCGGCCGUUUGCUGUCGUGGAUGAGAUUCCUGUUGCUGCCACCACGAUAACCGAGUCAUCGCUGAGUUUGUGUGCUGCUGCCUAGCUGGGAGGUGACAUCUCCCUUCUCCUUGACUGAUCCAAGGAAAAUGACGAAAGAUAACAGAGGAAACAGCUUUUAUGCCUCUAGAUUAGCAGAUGAAGCUCCUCCCAUUCGGCGGGCUUUCCAGUUUAUUCCGUUUGUAUGACCCGCCCAUAUUGUGUCAGACGCUUCAAACGACUAAUCAACCGUUCUUUGAGACAAUUUUUAAUCGAACGGAUAAACUAAUUGAAGUAUUGAAUAGUUAAGAUAAUUUUAAUUCGAUAAAUAUUAGAAUGAAACAAUGUUCCAGGCACAUUUGUCCGAAUAAGAUAAUGCGUUGCUAAAUUUCGUGUAGAAAGAUUAGUGAUCGAUUUUGCUGUUGCUGAGCCACCAAGCAUUCAACCAUUCACUUUUCGAAUGCACUACACUUUUACCGAUCGAUGGAAUAUAUCCGAAAAUUAUCCGAUUCAUAACUCUUAAGGAAUAAUUUUCUCUGGUCCUGAAAAGGUCCGUUCAAAUAACGGUUGAUUUUAGAAAGACAAAGGAAAAUUAUCCGCACUGAAUGCGGGAAGCCAUCGAAAACUGCCGCCACCUGCUGCCGUGAAUGAGAUUCCUGGUUCUAUCAGAUAGAUAGCCGAGAGCCGUCGCUGGGUUGGUGCGCAGCUACCCAGCUGCGGAGGUAACUUCCAUUGCCGGGCCCACCGCAGCCGUGAUCAGUGGAUGAGAUUCCUGGUGCUAUCACUCGUCGCAGUUGACGUGCUGCUGCGCAGCCGUGGACGUGAUAUCCACCUCCACCCUCCCUGACUGAUCCAAUGAAAAUGACGAAAGAAAUCAGAGGGAACAGCUUUUAUGCCCCUAGAUUAGCAGAUGAAGCUCCUCCCAUUCGGCUGGCUUUCCAGUUUAUUUCGAUUGCAUGACCCGCCCCGCAUGCUUCGGACGCUUCAAACGAUUUUUAACCAAGAAAUGAGAGAAAUUUUCAUUUAACAAAUAAAGUAACAAAAGUUGGAGGGGUUGUAUACUAGACACGACCGCAAGUCUGACGUUGAAUAACGUCCGUUUAUGCAUUUGUUUCAAUUAUUGAAUGCUGUAAUUAACAUUGAUAAAGACUGUGAUGCGACAUUUUGAUUUGGUUUAGUUUUAUGUGGUUUUAUUGUAGACGGCGAUUGAUAGUGCACCGCAUAGCAUCUCUAGGUUCCAUACCUCACAUUUCGAGGAAAUGUCAAAGCCUGGCAAACCCUCUUUGAGUUGUUGCUUGAGCAGUGUUUGACGCCAGAUUGAUGCAGAUUUCAGAUCCUCUCCCACAAUAUCACUGCUUUCGCUGGUUUUUGAAAUUUUGAAUGGACGCGACAAGACUUGACCUGCGUAGUAGUUGGUUUUAACAUAUUUCCAUAAACGAAUUUGUCAAAACUAUUUAAUAAUCUUUAUCUAUAACAGGUAACCGUUCAUUUUAUAAGAAUUUAAACUGAUGCAAUCCAACAGAUCAUUCAAAAAUGCAAAUCAUCAAGCUUUUGCUAAUUGGUGAACUGAAUUUACCAAUAGUUUAUAAAAUAACUAAGAAUAUUCAGAUGUCGUAAGGUUUUCUUCUAGAUUGUGUGGCAAAAAUGGGCAUAGAAGUGUUCAAUUUUUGCGGAGACAACACACAUUGAAAUUUGGCUGGGAAAUAUCAAGAUGCUACAAGAAUCUAAUAUAUUCCCACUACUCCGUUUGCAAAGUUUAUGCUAUGGUUUUGGACUUAGCCGGUUUUGACACAUUUGUGACCUGGCGCGUCGUCUAGGAAAAUUAUUUGGGUCACUCUUGUGGGGAACAUUUUUGAAGCCCUUAGAAGGGCUGUUUAAUUUUAUUUGUUGUACAUACAAUAAUCGUUCAAUUAUUGCAUGGGGUGAAAAUCGGUAGCUAUGCCAACCAAAUCUAGAACGGCAUCGGUGGCGUUGACUCCGAUGGGGGUUUUGCUAUGGCGAUGCUGCGCAAUCUCGGGGCAAAAGAAAGCCCUCGUUAUUGCCGCGCACCAGUUUGAACUGGUUGAUUGCUUCACUGGCGCCGCGUACAACGAUGGAGAAGAGAGGAGAGCGUAACAGCCGACAACCACCGCGCUCGGCUUGCCAAAGCAUGCUGAUAGAAAACGCAAACGGAGAAACUGGCUAGCUCUCCUUCGAUGCGAUCCCCUCGAGGGGUCAAGAAAGAAUGAUGGAAGAUGAGAAGAAGCAGUUUGCUUUUAUACGGCACAAUGGCCUGGUUUCCCCUCUCGAACGUGAUUGAUUAGAUGUGAGGGGAGUAAAAUUCAACGAUGCCAUACAAAUUUAUCUGCAAUAAUUUAUUUAUUAUAGCGGAGUAUUAAAAUAUACUAAAAUGAUUAUUAUUAGCCAUUGCCAAAUCAGUAGGUAGGCUUAGGAUUAACCAAUAUUAUAAUGUUUAGUAAGGAAUGACAGUAUGUAGUACAAAAGUCAUGUAUUUUCGACCAAAAUGUCUAAAGAUUACAGAUAUUUGAAAUUCUUAUUGAAAUUUGGCAACGCUGGUUAACAGUUUUCAUUUUUCAGCAAACCUGCCAUUUUUCAAAGUUGUAGAAAUUUCAAGCAGAUUUAUGAUGCGCGCAUAAGUUUAGGCUUUCCUUACCGUAUCUUGAAUUUAGAAUAGAUUCUACAUCAAGUGGUUAAAAUAUUCCCAGUUGUUGCCAUGGCCAUCCGCUACCGCACUGGGAAAAUGCGAAUGAGCCACCGCCGCGGCUGCUUCUAGGUUGCUAGCGGUGCUCUCGAAGUAGGUUUCAAAAUGUUUGCAGCAAUUUGAAUCAACUCUUACGUGGAAUUUAGAAUUAUAGCCCUAAUAAGGGCUGUUUAAUUUUGAUUUCACAAAACCAAACCACGUUGCUGCCGUGUCGUCGGCGCCCAUCCGCUUCCGAACUGGGGAAAUGAUAAAUUAUUCCCCCACAGCCGCUGCUGCACGGUUGUCGUCGGUGCGUCCGUCCGUCCACCGCGGUCGACAGCGUGAGAAUGUGCUGUGAGAAGAGAAUGCUGAACGAAAAUGUAAACCGAGCUGUGCUCCUCCGUCUCUGAUCCGGUAAACGAGCUGCCGCGCGCGACGAGGCACCGACCACCGUGCUCGGCUUGUCAAAGAACACUAAAAUGAAAACGCAAACGGAGCAAACUGCAGUGCACACGAAGACACACAACCGACCACCGCGCUCGGCAUGCCAAAGAAUACUAAACGAAAACGCAAACGGAGCAAACUGCAAAGCUCUGCUUCGAUGCGUUCCCCUCGAGGUGUUAAUGAAGAAUGAAGGAAGAGGGGAAGAAGAAAUAGCUUUUAUACUGCCAGGCGCUCGAUCGAAAACCCCAAAUCCGUGCUCGAACGUGAUUGGCUGGAUAAAACAUGGGUUCACUUUUCUCAAAUUUUCAAUAGUUUACUAUUGAAAAUCAAUAUUUACCCAGCAUGGAUUCGACGCGUAAAUAAAUUUCUGAUGGAUUCAUGCAAAAAGAUUGAAAAUCCAUUAAGAAUUGACAAAGUUAUUAGCGGUCAAAACCUAACCACUUUUCGUUACAUGCUCAAAUUUUCUGUUUUCUGAAUUGUACCCCCAUAUCUUGCCGAACGACGUUAUUCAACGUCAAAAAUAUAAAAAUAUUUAGAUCAUUUUAAUUCGAAAAAUGCUAGAAUUAAACAAGGGAUCGUUCUUAAAUUACGGCACACAAAAAUUAGUCAUUUUCAACCCCAUCUCAUCCCUGUCACACUUUUUGUAUGGGACCUCUGAAAUUUUUGUAUGGGUCGUCACACUUUGCUGACCCCCCCCCCCCCCCCCUAUUUAAACGUGACGUAAUUUCUGGACGCUCCCCAAUGUUUCACGAAAAAUGGUUCUGAUAGGACAAUGCGUUGCUAAAUUCUGGGUGGAACGAUUAGUGGCCGGAAUUCAAUCUUUCAUUUCUCGAUUGAACCACACUUUUCUCGAUUGAUGGAAUGAAAUUAUCUGAUUUACAACUUUUGAGGAAUUAUUUUCGGUGGUCCUGAAAAGGACCGUUUGAUUAAUUGACGAUUUUAGGAACGAAAUGGCAUGAAAACAUCAUGUCACGCAAUGCGUGUUGGUGUUCCCUUGCUAAAUACAGGAUGCCACCGAAAACUGGUACGCCGCUUUCUGCCAUGGAUGAGAUUCCUGGUGCUAUCCGCACGAUAGCCGAGAGUUUUGCGGCUGGGUUGAUGUGCCACUGUUCAGCUGUGGGGGUGACAUCCACCCUGUCUGACUGAUCCAACGAAAAUGACGAAAGAAAUCAGAGGGAACAGCUUUUAUGUCCCUAGAUUGGCAGAUGAAGCUCCUCCCAUUCGGCUGGCUUUCCAGUUUAUUUCGUUUGCAUGUCCCGCCCCGCAUGCAACAGACGCUUGAAUCGGUUAAUCAACCGAGAAAUGAGAAAAUUUUCAUUUAACCAAUAAAGCAAUCAAAAUAUUGGAAGAUUUAGAUAAUUUUAAUUCGAAAAAUGGUUAAAUUAAACAAUAUUUCACGAAAAAUGCACUGGAUAGGAUAAAGCGUUGCUAAAUUCCUGAUGGAGUCAUUAGUGGCCGGCAUCAUUAUUGUUGCGGGGCCACCAAGCAUACAAUUUUUCACUUUUCGGUUGCACCGCACUUUUACCGAGCGAUGGAAUGAAAUAAUUAUCUGAUUCACAACUCUUGAGGAAUAAUUUUCUAUGGUCCUGAAAAGAACCGUUUGAAUAUUGAACGAUUUCAGACAGAAAAUAGACAUGAAUUAAUCAUGCCACGCAAUGCGUUUUUAAUCUUCUCCGUGCUGAAUACUGAACGCCGUCGAAAAUUGGCCCGCCGCUUGCUGCCGUGGAUGAGAUUAGUGAUCGCCCUCACUGUUGCUGAACCACCACCAAGAAUUCAAUCUUCCACUAUUUGUUUUCACUACACUUUCUCGGUCGAUGCAGGAAAUUUAUCCAAUUAACUCUCUCGGAAGCAUUUUCGAUGAAAUUGAAAUCAAUUCAUCAUGCCACGUGUUGGAUUUCUCCGUGCUGUUUGCUGGAAGCCGUCGAAAAUUGGCCCGCCGCUUGCUGCCGUGGGUGCGAUUCCGGAUUUUGCUGCUGCCUCUGCCACCACCGUCGAUCAAUCUGAUGUUCAUACACUUCCUUGGUCUGCCGUGUUAGACGGUUAGAAGGUGAAUGUGCAACAGUCCCCUUGCCGAAAACCACCGCACCGACACCGAGCCGACACGGCCGUCAAAGAAGAAUGAGCGAAAACGCAAACGAAGAAAGUGGGCAGCUCUCGUUCGAUGCGUUCACCUCGAGACGACAAAGACGAAUGAGGGAAGAUGCGAAGAAGCAGUAGCUUUUAUAUUCGACGGGAGCAUCCAAAAUGUGCUCGAUCGUGAUUGGCUGGAAUAAACAUGGGUUCACUUUUUCAAAUUUUUCAAUAGUUUGUUAUUGAAAAUCAGCAAAUGUUAAUAUUGUACAUAAUUGGUGUAAAGAUUUCCAAUCGAUUGGAGCCAAAAUUUUGAAAAUUCAACGAGAAAUGGCUGAGUUAUUAUCGCUCAAAAUCUCCACUUCAAACGUAACGCGGCCGAUUUCUGAAAAUUUAGAAUGACACCCGGUAUAGAAAAGAGAGACGUAGUCCUACGUCAAAACGUUGGGGAUUGCUUGCCACUUGCCUCACGAUCCGUGCGAUUCACAUAGAAGUUGUGCACUCCCUCAGCACGGAUUCGUGCAUCAUGGCCUUGCGCAAUUUUAUUUCACGAAGGGGUAAGCCACGGACCUUCUAUAGUGAUCGCGGUACCAACUUUAUCGGUGCAAAGCGAGUACUUCAAGAAACAGAAUGUGUCGUCAACGAAGAAAAGCUGAUGAAGGAGUUCGUGGAUACCGAGACAAGCUGGACGUUCCUGCCGCCAGCCUCACCGCACAUGGGCGGUAGCUGGGAACGGUUAAUUGGUAGCGUUAAGAAAAAUCUGAUGGCAAUUCUGCCUACAAGAAAGCUUACGGAUGAAGUCUUGCGCAACCUUCUUACAGAAAUUGAAAGUACCGUGAACUCGAGACCGCUAACACAUGUUCCGGUAGACGACGAUUCAGCACCCGCCUUGACCCCAAACCACUUCCUUCUCGGGUCAUCCAAUGGGUCAAAGCCGCUGUGCAACGCUGAUGACAGUGGUAGUGCCCUUCGUCAAACCUGGCUGCUUUCUCAGGUCCAGGCUAACCGAUUCUGGAAACGGUGGGUUACCGAUUACCUUCCUGAGAUAACCCGCCGCACGAAAUGGUUCAUGCACACCAAGCCGUUAGAGAUCAACGAUGUGGUUGUGAUUGUCGACCCCAAAUCUCCACGAAAUUGUUGGCCGAAGGGCAGAAUAAUCAACGUCCAGCCUGGAAGAGAUGGUCAACCAAGGUCAGCCACAGUGAGGACUGCAACUGGAAUCUACGAGCGUCCAGCAACUAAGCUGGCCGUGCUAGACGUACGGCGCGAAACAUAGUAAGCAGGUCAGACGACCAGCGUACCUGGGGGGAGUGUUGGCGAAUCCACGCCACCGCGCCUUCACUACACUUUGGGCCAGCCUAAAGUCAGAUGUUGCAGAACGGUCGAGACUACGUUGGGCAUCGGGUGGCACCGAACGAUAGAUGGAAUGACAGUUUCCUCUGUCAUGUGGUGAGUCACUCACACUAAAACAACUGAAUUGUCAAUUAAUUAUAACGAUCAAAAGUCAAAGAACGUGAACUUGCUAAAUUAUUUUCUGUCGCUGAUGAUUAUUUCAUUAAACGUUGAAUUAUUUCUAGUUUAUUAUAUCUAAUACUAAAAGUUCAACUUAAUCUACGUUGUCGACCACAUAUAGCCUAAAAAUAACCUAUAUGCUAUUACUAAAAGUACGGCAGGUUAGAUAGUACGGACUAGUGCGACAAAACGGCAAAAACAUACAUUGUACAAACGGUGGAUGACAAAACGAUUAGACUCGAGACAGACUUGAACUGAUUACACGGAGGGAAACGAAACAUUGAAUUCGGGACUAAACGUAAGUGACAAUUAAUAAUAUUGUACAUACUCAUAUUUCUCUAUAGACACAUAAUUAACAUCACAAUCAAGAAACACCAAUUACAUGUUGAACUUAUGUAACCUUCUUAGGAAAAUAAUAAUCAUCCGGAUUAAAACCAAAAACCCAAUCGCCGGCCGUUUUAUUUCCGGGAUUAUUAUUGCGGAAUCACCCGAGGUUGUUGGCAAUUUCCAACAAUAAUGUUUUAUAGUUUUAUGCCGUAAUUCACAACAUUCGUAUUAAUUUGACGAGAUUCCACUCUUUGGAAGCUUUCUAGUUGCUUGACAACUCAUCCAGUUCUUCAUCGAUUCCAACGACAGGAAAAUAAAAUUAAGUGAAACAACAAUUGAUAAUUAAUCGACUAUAUGGUCUAGUUAAAUAAAGACAGCGUAGCCGAAAACUAGUAAGUAAAACAAUAAUAUUUUAAAAGUGUGUUUUAAAAUUUAAUUUGUGAGUAAAUUAUUAAAAUAUGCUCUUUUUCUCAUUACAAAUUCUUACAGGACAAACCAGUGAUUCUUCUUCUUCUUCUUUGUGGCUCGACGUUCGCAUUGGAACUUGGCCUGCCUCUCUUCAACUUAGUGUUCAUAGAGCAAUUCCACAGUUAUUAAUUCAAGGGCUUUCUUUGCCUGCCAUUGCAUGAAUUUGUAUAUUGUGAGGCGAGUACAAUGAUACACUAUGCUCAGGGAGUCGAGAAAAGUUUCCCGACUGAAACGGGAAUCGAACCCGCCGUCUCUGGAUUGGCGAUCCAUAGCCUUAACCACUAGGCUAACUGGAGACCCCAAUUGGAGACCAGUGAUUCUAUGAUCCCAAAAAUCUUUUUCCUAUGUACGUGGAUGAAUGAUAUAUGCAGGGGAUAGACAAAAUGAUCCGGACAGGCAACAUUUUUACUUUACAAAAAUAGUAAAAUACCUAGCUGUAAUUUUUAUUAAAAUGCAUCAAAAAAUCUCAAACUUUUAUUAUAAGUAAAUUAACAAGUUGUGUAUUAUAUGGUCCAUUUUGGAAAAGAUCGGGCUAUUCUACAUGAAAUUAGAAAGGUUUUAGGAAAAGGCAUAAUUAACCGAUAGUCAAAUCUGACUAUCCGAUGAUCGGAUCUGACUCCGGACUCAAUGAACCGAAUGCAAUGACAUUUUGACCAUUUAUGACUCAUAUAAUGAGCUCCGAAAGAAGUUUGACUUAACUUGAAAUCAUUUAUAAGAUAAAAAGAUACAGCGAUUUCAUUUAUUUUAUGAUUUUUUAGUAAAUUGGUUUAAUUUUAAUAUGCUUCCCAUCACUUUUUUUUUAACUUAUUGUCGGUUAUUUUGUUACUUCCUCUCAAAACGUUUUCGUAUUGAAGUCAAUUAGAGGGAAUUCAAAUAAACUAUUAUCACCUUCUUGAAUUUUGAAACUAUGGUCACUUUUUCGAUAAUUUUCAGAUAAAUUAGAAAAAUAAUCUCAACGCUAUGAUAACAAUUUUAGUUUAUGUCAAAACUUUUUCAAAGCUCAUCAUAUAAGUAAUGAAUUCUCCAAAUUUCAUUGCGUUUUAUUCAUUGAAACCGGAAAACAGUUCAAAGUUGGCUAUCGGAAAAUUAUGACUUUUUUCUAGAAUGUUUCUAACAUUGUCUAGAAUAGCUCGAUCAUUCCCAAAAUUGGACUAGUAAUACACAACUAAUUGAUCAACUCACAGUAUAAAUAUAGGAUUUUUUGAUGCACGUUUAAAAAAGUUACAGCUAUUUGACUAGGUAUGUUUUGUAAAGUGAAAAUUUUGCCUGUCCCGAUAAUUUUGCUAUCCCCUAGGCAAUUUUGUCCGUUACCAAAAUCAACACUACUCUCGAACAGGCAACCAAAAGAAU
RNA transcript from Aedes albopictus (Asian tiger mosquito), 18305 nucleotides. RefSeq lists it as uncharacterized. Lineage: Eukaryota; Metazoa; Arthropoda; Insecta; Diptera; Culicidae. The transcript is spliced from 3 exons. The record is from RefSeq and is a predicted model, not a curated record.